GGGCCUGUAGCUCAAUGGUUAGAGCCGGCCGCUCAUAACGGCUUGGUUGGGGGUUCGAGUCCCUCCGGGCCCACCA
Molecule: transfer RNA, 76 nt
Filed under: Magnetospirillum sp.
Lineage: Bacteria; Pseudomonadati; Pseudomonadota; Alphaproteobacteria; Rhodospirillales; Rhodospirillaceae
Also listed under: 2 other names
Description: tRNA-Ile
Rfam family: tRNA
About the family: Transfer RNA (tRNA) molecules are approximately 80 nucleotides in length. Their secondary structure includes four short double-helical elements and three loops (D, anti-codon, and T loops).
Source: RNAcentral